RNAcentral lists this ribosomal RNA (440 nucleotides) under uncultured bacterium. RNAcentral describes it as "partial 16S ribosomal RNA". It matches the Rfam family "Bacterial small subunit ribosomal RNA", at positions 338 to 795 of the family's 1533-position model. The record is from RNAcentral.
CCUACGGGGCGCUGCAGUGGGGAAUAUUGCACAAUGGGGGGAACCCUGAUGCAGCGACGCCGCGUGAGUGAAGAAGUAUUUCGGUAUGUAAAGCUCUAUCAGCAGGGAAGAAAAUGACGGUACCUGACUAAGAAGCCCCGGCUAACUACGUGCCAGCAGCCGCGGUACUACGUAGGGGGCAAGCGUUAUCCGGAUUUACUGGGUGUAAAGGGAGCGCAGACGGCUGUGCAAGUCUGGAGUGAAAGGCGGGGGCCCAACCCCCGGACUGCGCUGGAAACUGUAAAGCUGGAGUGCAGGAGAGGUAAGCGGAAUUCGUAGUGUAGCGGUGAAAUGCGUAGAUAUUAGGAGGAACACCAGUGGCGAAGGCGGCUUACUGGACUGCAACUGACGUUGAGGCUCGAAAGCGUGGGGAGCAAACAGGAUUAGAUACCCCAGUAGUC